Long non-coding RNA from Lotus japonicus, 1346 nucleotides. RefSeq lists it as uncharacterized. NCBI's taxonomy places the organism in Eukaryota, Viridiplantae, Streptophyta, Magnoliopsida, Fabales, Fabaceae. The record is from RefSeq and is a predicted model, not a curated record. The transcript has 2 exons.
AUUAAGGCAAUUGGAUUUAGAACAUUUAAAGUUAUAGACAUGUGUACUCCCCUUAGUAUGGUGCAAGCUUGGAUACCCAUAAAUUCAGAUGAGUGUAGGCUACAGGAGUGAGGUGUACCAGUAAUACAUAAACAUGUAAUAUAACGAGUGAUGACUAGAUUUUUUUACACUAUUUACGUUAUCACCCACCUAAAUUUUAGCUUACUAAAUAUGUCAUCACCCUUUUUAAUAAUUAUGUAUGUAAAACACAGUGAUUCCCAAUUCCCGGACCCAUCCACCCCCAAUCCAUCAUCAACAGUAAUCCCCAAACCACCCAUAACCAAAUACUAAGAAUCAAAUUCCAGCCAAACCACCUCUUCAUCACCGUACAAUACUUUAAUCCCUUUUUCACACAGAGAGGGAGAUUUGCCAUGUCAACCUUGAAGGAGAUUUCUGAAAUUUCUGGCAUGGAAGAAUUAACGAGACACCAUCCCUUGCAACAACAACUGGUACGGCGUCAAAUGUGACUCCGCCACGGCGGUCGACCUCUCCGACACCAACAUCGCUAGCCCAUUCAUUGCGUCGAUCCUCUGCCGCCUCCCUAACCUCACCUCCAUCAACCAAACGUUCCAGAGCAUCGAGGUCCUGUCCUUACUCUCAAACCUUCUAAAAGGUACCAUUCCUCCUUCACUCGGAUCUUAACCACCUUGAAAAUGCUGAAUCUCUCUUACAACCCGUUUUAUCUGGGUCGGAUUCCACCGCCGCGGUGGCAGUGGCGAUGCUGAGGCCUGAGUGGCUUCUUAGAUCUGUUUCUGCAAUUUUUUGUAACAUUCUAACCCUCCGCCGCCGCGAUGGUUGGACGGAGAUGAAGACGUCCGGAGGUUGGUCGGUAGCCGGAGUUCGAAGGGAGGUGCUAGGAGGAGAAGAGAGUGGAAGAGGUGUGCAAUAAGGUUCUGGGAGAAAAUGCCCCUUAAUAUAUUAUUACAUGUGGGACAUGUUUUUGUUUCAGCACUCUCUCUCAAGUCAAACUGGAUUGGUCGAGUUAGGCUUGUCUACUCAAGCAGAAUAUCAGAUGUCAUUUGUGAGUGAGAUUGUAUUCACUCUAUCUUAACUUGAGUUUCAUAAAUCCAUGAUUUGAUUUUAGUUGAUAGUUUUUUUUUUGAACUCAUUUUAUUUUUCUCUGUCUUCUUUUCAUUUCUCUUCUUUCUUAGGCUUUUUUCUAUCUUGUUGUGAGGUUAUUUCGGCUUUGAUACCGCUUAAUAGGUUGUAAAAGCGCAAAGCCAAAAUAGUUGUAAUGUUGUAUAUAGGUGUGGGAGAGUAUUGGGCAAUGAUGGAUAAUUGGAUAUGGCCCAAAAACCUUACGAUAA